UUCCUGGACGAGAUCCUGAAGUUGCUGACUGCAACAAAUGGUGAGAGAAUGCGUGGCAUCCAGCAAAGCACCAGGAGAACAGCAGGACCCGGCUCCAUGGACAUUCCGCCUUUGUUCGGCUGAUCCACCCCUGGGGGCUCUGCCUUUUCCAUCGUGGGCAACACCCCCUCUGGAGAAAUCGAAACUGUAACCGAGCUCCCAAAGCCAGUGCUUCACCGAGAUCAUCUAAAGAGGCGACGCCCACAUGGGAGUCGAGCCGAAGCUGGAGAUAGAAGAAUUCUGCCCCUCGUGAGAGGAGAUCUAAGAGUUGCACCCUUCCUGAAAGAGAAUCCUAAAGUGGAAGAGACUGAACUAAAAACCCAUUAUAUUUGUAUUGAGUACCAUCACUGUUUACUGAGAUUUAAGUGUUUGUUUUUAAUUUUGGGGUUUUUUGUUUGUUUGCUUAAUGUGUUUUGUUAUUGAGUUUUUGGUGUCCCACAAAGCAAAGUGGGUGCUCUGUGGAGGAGGCGAGAUUUUAAGGUGUAUGUUUGGAAAAAUUUUAAGCUCCUAGUUAAAAUUUGAAAAAAAAA
Cyanistes caeruleus (blue tit) is the source of this 569-nucleotide long non-coding RNA. RefSeq lists it as uncharacterized. The record is from RefSeq and is a predicted model, not a curated record. NCBI's taxonomy places the organism in Eukaryota, Metazoa, Chordata, Aves, Passeriformes, Paridae.